RNAcentral lists this ribosomal RNA (389 nucleotides) under uncultured Cenococcum. RNAcentral's name for it is "eukaryotic LSU rRNA". The stretch from base 95 to 248 matches the Rfam family "5.8S ribosomal RNA". Lineage: Eukaryota; Fungi; Ascomycota; Dothideomycetes; Gloniales; Gloniaceae. The record is from RNAcentral.
GAUAGACUCAUGUUGCCUCGGCGGGUGCUCCCGNNGAGGAUACAUCAAAACUCCUGUUUUAACGGUGUUGUCUGAGCUACAAGCAACGAAUCAAAACUUUCAACAACGGAUCUCUUGGUUCUGGCAUCGAUGAAGAACGCAGCGAAAUGCGAUAAGUAGUGUGAAUUGCAGAAUUCAGUGAAUCAUCGAAUCUUUGAACGCACAUUGCGCCCCUUGGUAUCCCGAGGGGCAUGCCUGUUCGAGCGUCAUUUCACCACUCAAGCCUGGCUUGGUGUUGGGCGACGUCCCCUUUGGGGACGCGCCUCGAAACGCUCGGCGGCGUGGCACCAACUUUAAGCGUAGCAUAUUUCUUUCGCUUUGAAAGUCGGGGCCCCGUCUGCAGGGAAGAG